UACUUUUUGUCCAUAAUUUUAACUGUUUUUGGCAUAAUUAACCUUGGCCUCCAUCUACGAUCCAAAAAGUUUUUAUACUGAUGAAAUCUAUAUCAAAAUUGGAGUCUUUUGGUUACAACACAUUCUGGAUCGUAGGUGGCGGCCAAGGUGUUUCAAAAGCUUUUGGGUCUGAAAAAUGCACAAAAUCAUCAUAUUUUGACAAAAUGUCCAAAAUGGGCUUACUUUGGCGAAUACCUUGUAGUCUUAUGAAAAGAACUGAUAUAUUUAGCAUUUAUACUUUUGAAAUAGACCCAUUUACAAACCCAAUUGAGACCUGUUUGGUUUUUUAUGAUAAAGUUGAUAUUUUAGGCCAUUUUGUGCCAUUAGUGAAC
Molecule: long non-coding RNA, 371 nt
Filed under: Mytilus galloprovincialis (Mediterranean mussel)
Lineage: Eukaryota; Metazoa; Mollusca; Bivalvia; Mytilida; Mytilidae
Source: RNAcentral